UGGGGAAUAUUGGACAAUGGGCGCAAGCCUGAUCCAGCCAUGCCGCGUGAGUGAUGAAGGCCCUAGGGUUGUAAAGCUCUUUCACCGGUGAAGAUAAUGACGGUAACCGGAGAAGAAGCCCCGGCUAACUUCGUGCCAGCAGCCGCGGUAAUACGAAGGGGGCUAGCGUUGUUCGGAUUUACUGGGCGUAAAGCGCAAGUAGGCGGAAUUUUAAGUCAGGGGUGAAAUCCCGGGGCUCAACCCCGGAACUGCCUUUGAUACUGGAAGUCUUGAAGAUGGUAGAGGUGAGUGGAAUUCCGAGUGUAGAGGUGAAAUUCGUAGAUAUUCGGAGGAACACCAGUGGCGAAGGCGGCUAACUGGACCAUUACUGACGCUGAGGUGCGAAAGCGUGGGGAGCAAACAGG
RNAcentral lists this ribosomal RNA (404 nucleotides) under Actinomycetes bacterium. RNAcentral describes it as "Actinobacteria bacterium partial 16S ribosomal RNA". It matches the Rfam family "Bacterial small subunit ribosomal RNA", at positions 355 to 776 of the family's 1533-position model. Lineage: Bacteria; Bacillati; Actinomycetota; Actinomycetes. The record is from RNAcentral.